This 101-nucleotide small nucleolar RNA is filed under the name Pteropus vampyrus (large flying fox). Its description in RNAcentral is "Small nucleolar RNA U13 (ENSPVAG00000027643.1)". It matches the Rfam family "Small nucleolar RNA U13". Lineage: Eukaryota; Metazoa; Chordata; Mammalia; Chiroptera; Pteropodidae. The record is from RNAcentral.
AUCCUUUUCUAGUUCAUAAGCGUGACGAUUGGGUGUUCAUGCUAUUGUGUGAGACGUGCCUACCUCGAAUCUUGUUACAUUAGCACAUGACCCGUCUAACG